UUGUCACCGUUGCAAUUUGACGCUCGAGUUCAAAUUCAUAUUUUUCUUCGUACGUAUUACCGCUGACCUACCACUACCGCUGACUGCUACCACUUAUAAAUGGCGUACUAGAAUAUAUUUUACCUGAAAUGGAACGAAUGUCUCUCUUUGCUAUGUAGUCUGCAACGCUGUUCAAGCAGUUGUCUAGCUGCAGAUAUAGGGUAUCUGGAAUAUAGUCCAUGCUCUGCAGCUCAAGUAGCAGGAUGUUAAUGGUAAGGUUGGAGUCAUGCGGGAACUGGAAUAAGUCAAAAUAACCUUUUGGUUGUCUUCCAUGAUUCAGAAUCCCAGUGAGAUGGGUUUUCAUUUGGCGAGCAUUGGCAUAGGCAUGCGCUAUGACUCUCAUCCUUGGAAGCAAGAGUUUUGCUUGGUCCAUGCCAUCCUGGACAAUGCAUACAUAUUUUUCUGGAUUACUUUUAGCCUUUUCUCGGUGGUGGUAAUACAGUUUUCUUUCAUUCCUAAAUGUACAUUUAAUAAUCAAGAAAAAUGAAUUUAGUAUUCUGGUUCACUCUUACUUCUACAUUUCAUCAUAAUGUUUACCUACAUUUGAAUGUUGUUAUGGAAAGUAAACAGUCUGUCAAGGUAGUCAACAACUUCUUUGUCUCGCGCUGUUCUCUUCUCUGUACUGAGGGCUGUACAGUAAUCACACCUAGUAAACCGGUUUACCUGGAAAAUGGUGUGACAAUUGACACAUAGUUUGAAACAAAUUUAAAAAACUUGAAUCAAAAUUUAUCAAAUUCUUCAGUAGGUCUAGUAUUUAUAGUCUAUUGCAUAUUUAAGAAUGAAAUAAUCAAAAUACUACUGGAUAGUUCACGUCAAAAAUUUAAAUUCUAUUACUAAUUCUAUUAUUUAUAAUCACAAGAAUGUUUAAAGCACCUUAGGGAAUUUAACAUGAGGGAAAACUGUGUGAAAAAGUUUGCAGAAUACACUGUAAUGAGUUGGCUGUUGUCCUUUAUCUUUCAUCUCAUCGCUCAUUGUUUUAUAUAUAGCCCUUUUAUCCAGAUAGCUAGGCAGAUGAAUUGUUCCAGCAUUUGGCAUCUUAUCUCCAACCUGGGAAUUGUUAAAAGUAACAUAAACAGCAAUAUUCUGAAGAGUCAUCCUAUCUUUAAUACAUAGAAUUAGCAUGUAUCAAAGUUUAAUUUAUUAUUUUAUAUUAUGAUUUAUAUUACAUAACU
Molecule: long non-coding RNA, 1211 nt
Organism: Exaiptasia diaphana
Lineage: Eukaryota; Metazoa; Cnidaria; Anthozoa; Actiniaria; Aiptasiidae
Exons: 2
Source: RefSeq, a predicted model, not a curated record